RNAcentral lists this long non-coding RNA (3944 nucleotides) under Homo sapiens (human). Its description in RNAcentral is "HSALNT0403671". Lineage: Eukaryota; Metazoa; Chordata; Mammalia; Primates; Hominidae. The record is from RNAcentral.
CCUCCCAAAGUGCUGGGACUCCAGGCGUGGGCCACCACACCUGGCCUGAAGUCCCAUUUCUUAGAAAGACUGUGAUUUCACAUAUAAACAACUCAGAACUUCAAUAUUGAAUGUGAUGCAUUUGUAUCUUGAGAUAUUUGCCCCAAAAACAGAAAAAAAGGAAUAAUUCAUUAAAACAAGAUGACCUCAGAUAAAUGAGUGGUUUUCAAAUGGGCGUGAUUUUGCUCCCAGGGGACCUUUGACAAUGUCUGGAAAUAGUUUUUGUUGCCACAGCUAGCAUGAGGGAGUCCUACUUGUAUCUAGAGGACUGAGUCCAGGAUACUGCUAACCAUCCUGCCCAGAACAGUGCCUGCAACAGAGUUGUCCACCUCAGUGUGACAAUAGCACUGAGAUUGAUGUGCCCUGGGAUAGACAAGUCUCUGGACAGUUUGGGCAAAUGUGAAGGGAGGCAUGGUGCAGGGCCACAGGUUUUUUUGCCACGUGAUGCAAAAGAGCAUAAGAGCUGGGAGGCCCUUAUGCAUGUUGAUCUUCAAUUUCCUCAUUUGUGAAAUGAAGCUUUUUGAUAGACCUCAAAGUUUUCAUGUUAUGUGAGCCUAUUCACCCUUAAGCUGCUUUAACAUUUGACUGAAGGUGAAAGUCUCUACUGUUCUGGAAGAACCUUCUGUUUCAGUAACCCACCUCCUCUUUUUAGUAUAAGGCUAAUAAACACCAGUAUAAAGGAGGAAUUGUUCACUAAGUUAAUACAAAUACAAAGUUAGCAGAAUGGGAGGAAGAAAGGUAAGUUACUCAUCUUUAAAUAUAAAGAUUAGUUUUUGGACACUGCUCAUCUGAAGACAGUUGCAUAUAUUUACAAAAUUCAAGCAGUCACAGUCCCUUCUAGAAAAUGGGAAGCCGGGAAAUACGGUUCCAAAAUCUCUUUGCUUUACCAGAAUGAAAAUAAUUUAACAAAGUAAAAGUAUUUGAACACAACUAUUAUUACAUUAAGGAGUCACUGAUGGUUUUCUUAUCUUUGCUGGUGUUAGCUUGACUUUUUACUAUUUCCAAAAGUUAUAUAUUUGUGACUCAAAAGCAAGCAUUUCCCUAGGUGUAUAUGUUGUAAGAAGAUUUUUGUUAAUUAGAACAUGAAAAUAUUAUCUACUUUUAUAGCAUGUCAGAGAAAUCUUAUGUGAGAAGGUGGAAUUUCUUAUAUUAUCUGUCUCUUUUUUUUCAAUAAUUUGACAAAUUUCCACCAAUCUUAUUUACCACUGCAUAUUAUCUAUAUAAUGACCAUUUAAGAAUUUUCUAUCUUCAAAUAUAUUUGCAAUAUUCUUGCUAUUAGCAAUAAUGACAAUAUUAUAGAGCAUAAAAACGAGCACAGAAGUAUUAUGGUGUUAUUAGUACUAUAGCAUUAGGGUGAGGGUGCUUGCUUUAGAGAUAGAAUUAAAAUAAAAUGUAACUCACAUUAUAUUCUUUAAUUGCUCUACUAAAGAAUUUGUCAUUUAUGGGCCAUUUAUUUUGUGUAGACAUGAAAAGAAUGUGGUUACACCUAGCUAGAAAAUGUAUAACCUUUCAUAUGGGCAGGGCAUGUUUCUCUUUCUCAUCCUGGUACCUGAGUUUGAGUGUAUGAUUAACUCAGUGCAAGUAAGGAGCUAAAUAAAAGAGAUCUGGAACUGAAAUUCAAUUCAACAAAAAUUUAUUAUACACUUAGCUGGUGCAGGGCCGAGCAACAGCAAUAGAAGAUGCAAAAAUGACAAAGAUAAUGUGGUCCUAGCACAUUUAGGGAUGGAUUGCACUAGAUUGCCCUAGAGAAUAGAGGCACAGGGAACUGAUACAAGGCUAAUAGAAAAGCAUGUGCAAGGCAAGUCUAAGAGCAGCAGCAUUUGAAAGAGAGUAACAGACUAAGAGGGAUGGGAAAGACAUAAUGGGAGGUAGACUCCACAGGGCUUCAGAUGGAUUGCAUGUGUGAUUGAGGCAAGGAAGAGGAAGAGAAAGAACAUUUAAUGACCUCCUUCAGUGCCAGACUAUACUAGGUGCUUUGUAUAGGCUGUAUUAUUUUAAACACCUGAGAGACAGCUGUGAUUGUCCCUUUUCUCCAAUGUUGUAUAAUUUGUAGAAAGUUCUCAGAGCUGGGAUUCAAGUGCAAAGUUUCAUUCACUCAUUAAUUCAUAUAGUCAAUAUUUAUUGAAUGUCCACGCUCUGCCAGGCAUCCUGGAAGAUACCAGGGACACAAAAGUGAACACUAGAAACAAGGGUUCUAUUGGGUUCUCAAGGAACCCUUAGUCUAGUAAGGGAGGUAGAUAUUUAUCUAAAUACCCAAAUGGGAUAGUUUUAAAACAUAUCAAAAAAUUUCCAUAAGAGGUAGAGCCUAAUUUCUCUCCCAUUUAGUGUGGGUUGGACUUAAAGACAUAUUUUUAACAAAUAGAGUCAAGCAGCAGUGACAACAUCUGACUUCUAAGUCUAGGUCAUGAAAGACAUUGGAGCUUCCUUCCCACCUGCUGUCUCUUGGAUCACUUGCCCUGGGGUGAGCCAGCUGCCACGGAGAAGCCCACAGAGGAAGAGCGGAACAGUUCUCAAUGGCAAAUGGAAGUUGCAGUGAAGCAGCACCCAGAGCCAGUGUCAGGCUCCCGAGAGAGCGCUGCACCGCUGCAUGUGGUUUCUGGUGCUCUACAUGUUCGGAGAAACUUAUCUGGUAGUGAGCUAUAGAAACAAUCCCUGCAAGCGUCGUCUUUAUAAGGUCAUUUUAAUGACUAUUUUUCUCCUCAGGAAAUAGGCAGUACUGAAGACAGAGAGAUAAAAGGGGCGGUGCUGACACACGUAGAUGACUGGGGCUCUGACAAUGACCGUGAGCUGAUGACCUGAGUCACACAAACUGGAAAACAAAGUUUUUCCCUAAGGAGUUGGACUUUUAAAAACUUUUUAUUGGCUGCUUUUGGAUUAAGGUGUUUAGGACCAGCAUUAUGAGCAGAAGGACUCAGUGUGUAUGAAGAAGAAACCAAGUUUUUCUACAGCAGAAGAGGAGGAAUUUGCCUUUGCAAAAUGUUAUACUGUUUUAUCUGUCGCUGAACGUGUCUGGGCAGUGGCUGUUCUCCCAGGUCUGAGUCCUGAAAAGGGAAAGAGAAAGAGAUUGUAGGACACGGUGAAAUGAUACACGAAACAGCGUUUCCCCAGCUUCUUAUUUGCCUGUACAUUUCUCAUAAAUGGAGUAAAUGCUGAACAAGCUGACUUUCUCCCAUCAUUCCUGUAAAUAAGGAUAUGACUCACAGACCUUGCAAUCUCUAAAAUGCCAUAGCUACUACAGUGAUUUGAUUAUUUAAAAAUAGCUGGGGAAAAAAACAGCAAGAAAUUGGUCCUGGGUAAGUUAGGAUGAAUUCUUUUCUGUUUGUUUUUGUUUAUCAUUUAAAUUGUUAUUGUAUCUCACCCUAAGUAUUCUGACAACAUCUAGUUUGCCAAACAAAUCUUAGGGAUUUAUGAGUUCUGGAAACUAACAAUAUGAACGUGCUGGUCAGAUCUCAGAUCCCAGGCAAAUAAACCCAAAAAACAAAAAACAAAAGACAACAAGACACAAGGUUCACCAUGGAGUCACUGUGAUCUGCGGGCAACUAUGGAUUUGGUUAUAUGAUCUCCUUUUCUAUAAAGUGGAGAGAGAUAAGUGUUGACAUCACUUAAAUACGCUGAGCCCCACCCCCAAAUAACACAAAUGCUGGUAACAACAAUAAUUUAUAUUAAGCCUACUGAACGGCUUUUGUUGAUCUUUAACUAGCCUAUCUAGAAAUGGGAAACGAGUGACCUCUAUUAUUACUCAAGUACUAAAACUCCCCAAGUAGGACUGUUUGUCAAAACUAGGAGUGAGUUUGAGAUUCAGGAUUAAGGUUCAAGUAGGGAAUCUCCAUUUACCCUGCAUCUCAGUCUUACACUGUAUUAUCAGGGUCUUGGGAGGAAAGAGAAGCACACUUAAGAAGGCAUGA